AUAAUUAUUUCAUCCCCCCUUUCUCUUCUCUCUCUCUUUCUCCAUAACCGCCGCCCCUCCACCGCCGCCAAAUAUCGCCCACCGGCGGUGGACCACCUCCAAACCAUCUCAAAAUUUCACCAUGUAAUCUCCAACACCUCCUCUUUCCAUAUCUCCAAACCAAAUCCUUUAAAACCCCCUCAAACUCCUUGAAUCUUAGAUCUAGAAAAUUUUAACCGCCAUUUUUUUGCAAAAAUUCUUGAAGCUCCGGCCACUACCACCCCACAAUACCUACAUCAAUGGAUAGAGCUCCUCAAGACCUAGAUAUUGAUGCCAAUUUCACCCUGAAAAUUCGGCGACCAAAAUCCAACCAAAUUCUGGUGACCUCCCCGAAUACCCUCUUUUGGCAUACCACCAUUUUUUCGGCCACUUGAAUUGUAAUGGUAAAAAUCCUAUUAUUUUCGUGGUUGAUUUUUUUUUUUUUAUUUUUCAGAUUUUAUUUUGUCUAUUAUUAAUUAUUUUAGCUUUAGUUUUGAAGUUUGAAAUGUUAAAUUUUCUGUUUUUGCACUUGUUGAAGUAGUAAAAUAAUUUUUUAUUGAUAAAAGUGAGGUAGUGAAGAAUACUUAAGAGUAUAUGGUACUUGUUUGGUUGUUUAUUUAUUGCUUCAAAACUCUUUGAGUACAACACUCAAAAGUCAAAUUGUUUGGUAAGAAAAUGUAGACUUUUGGAUAGUGUUUGAAUAAAAGUCUGUCUUUGAAUAGUGGAGAGCAGAUUUUGUUUGAAAUAUUUGACAAGAUUUGAACCAGAAAGUCUUGAUUUUUGAAUUUUAGAGCAGAUUUUGUAGAAAAAUCUGUCAAAAAGAUUGAUUUUUAAUUUUUUGAAAUAGUUAGUUGUUUUGAUAUAAAAAGGAGGACAUUCCAUCUGACAGAGAGAGGUCUACACACACAAAAAGAGGAAAAAAUUAAUAGCUAUAAUAUCCCUUAGCAUCUGAAAAUUGUGAGCUUUUUGUGAGGUGAUUUUUAAAUGAAAAACUUGUUUAAGGAAAAUAGAGUAGUCUUGAAAGAUUUUUAUGGAGUUACAUAAUUGUACUGUUUUCCUGAGGUAUUUCUAGUUUAUUUUCUUGGGUUUGAAUCUGCCGGUUGUCGCUGUCUUUUGCUGUUGUUGCUGCCCGUUUAAUUAUUUUGCUGUUGAUUUUGGAAAGAGCUGACUCUGCUGUAUUUGUUCUUCUUUCUGCUAUCUAGGUAAUUUUCGGACCAUGUAAACUCAUAAAAUCGAGUUGGAAUGAAAGAUAAUAAUGGUGGGAAAUAUUAGUAGCUUCAUCCUUCUAUUGUAAUUCAUUUUUAUAUGUUAUUGAAUAUUUAAUAAUGUUAUAACGAUAUGUUAGUUAAUUAAAUAGUGUUAAGCAUCUUUAAUUAUUUUUAUUUUUAUUUUUGCUAAAACAUUAGAUAUAAUUCCACUGGGCAUUUGGUUGUCUGAAAUGAGCAUAUAUAUAAAAAUUUGAACCCGUGUAGCUAUGUUUGUCCCUUUGUUGUCACCAAGCUAAGUUGUUGUUGUUGUUGUUGUUGUUGUUGUUGUUGUUGUUGUUAUUAUUAUUAUUAUUAUUAUUAUUAUUAUUAUUAUAUUUUAAAGUCCCAAUAAUCUUUAUUUUAUCUCUUAAAAAAUACUUAUUUUAGUAAGGUAGUUAAGUUGUAGAUUAGAAAGACAAUCUGUAAACUUAUUUUUGUAAAUAGUUGGCUACGGAUUGCAAAUAGCAAGAUAGGUCCAAAUCUAUAACAUGACUUUAAAAGGCCAUAUCUGCAGAUUUAAAGUCCAAGAGCAUAUGAGCUUUUGGAUUUUGUCUUGGACAUGAGCCCGUUUGACUCCAUCAACCCAACAGUGGGCUGCCUCAUUCAAUAUCAAGACAAGCCCACAUCUUACUAGUUUUAAGCAAUGUCAAUUAAUAAUUUUCUCUCAAUAGUCUCAUCUUUUAAAUUAGUACUCAUAACAAUAAUUUUCUCUCAUUAGUUAAGUUGUAGAUUAUUAUUCAAAUCUUUUCUUUAUUUUUUUUAAAUAAAUAAAAGCGGACAUAAGAAAAGCAUAAAAAUCAAAUAAAUCACAGUUUAUCCAAGUUUAAUUCAAGCCAAAUGUAGUCAAUAAAGCGGCCGUGCUAGAACCACGGGACUCGGGGAAUGCCUUACACCUUCUCCCCGGUCAACAAAAUUCCUUACCCGGACUUUGUUUUCGCAGACCAAUAAUAAUAGAGUCAAACCUUCCCUUGAAUAGGGAUUCAAAUAAAAGGUGACUUGGAAUACCGAUAAAAAUCAAUUCCAAAUGGCGACUCUGUAAAUAAAAUAAUCCCUAUUUCAAAUUUGUCACUUUAAUUGGAAAAGCUCUUUAAACCACAAUCCAUAACAUUUUACACAUAUCUCUUGGAGGGGUAAAAAGGGGUGUGACAAUAAUUAUGCAAUGUAUUAUAAUUUUAAUACACCACACCAAACAGUAGAUAAGAAAUAAUAUCUGCAUAACUAAUGAUUGCAUUGCCAACCAAUGCAUUACUAAUACACCUUAUUCCGCACUAUUCUUAUACACCCUACCAAACGACUCCUUAUUGAGUACAUGAGAUCGGUUGUACUCAUACUACACUUCUGCAUCUUGUGCGCAGAUGUUGGAUGCUGAUGUUGUUGUGUAAGACGAGAGAUGGAUUUGAAGAUGUACCUGCGUUCCGGUCAUAGCUGCAUCUUGAUCUUUGUAGCUCUAGAAUUCUAAUCUGUUCAUGUAUAUUUCAAACAGAUGAUGUACUUUAUUUCAAACCAUCUUUGUAAAUUCUAAAUCUUAGUCGCUCAUGAUUUGUACUACCAGUCCUUAGAAAUUUCUUGUAUAAUUGUUCAGUUGUAUUAUUAUUUCUUCUCUUAAUAAAUAUCAUUUGAAC
RNAcentral lists this long non-coding RNA (2887 nucleotides) under Nicotiana tabacum (common tobacco). RNAcentral describes it as "long non-coding RNA (NTAB_LNC005730)". Lineage: Eukaryota; Viridiplantae; Streptophyta; Magnoliopsida; Solanales; Solanaceae. The record is from RNAcentral.